GGCGCCAAACUGUUGCGACAGUUUCCGGAAGGUGACGUGUCGGUCAGAUUUUGGACUAAGUUGCUCCCGGUUGUGUCUGGUUCACCUGAAAAGUAAAGCUGCGUCGGGGGGGGGUUCCGACAACCCCGCUCCGAUACUUAAGUAAGUGUAUGGUUCUGAGAAUAAAUGCGCAAAAUAAUGCCAAAGAGACUGAUUAGCAUGUACCUUAGCAUCUGAAACAGUUCUUGUAUUUAUAGAGGUUAUGGAGCAGUUCCAUUAGCUUCACAAUUUGCGCACGAGGCGGUUGGAGGAGACGUGGCUCCAUGUAAACAACUCUUCCAGAUUCCGUAGAUCUCGGUGGUAUCAUGGGGUCCCACGACAUGCAUCGUGUCCCUUAGGUUCCGGGUACUGCCGAGACGCAUGACUUCCAUGACGUGCGUCGUGUCCCUUAGAUUCCGGGUACUGCCGAGACGCCUGCAGAUGCGGAUACCAACUAGCAUUUGGAUCGCCAACUCAGGCCUGUUGCAACAGACUUGGGCCCAAGGAGCCUCAAUGGGCCCGGGUAAAUUAUGCCUUUUCCAAUAUUUGGGCCCGGUCGGGUGGAUCAGAGAGGGCCCACAUCCCGGAUUGGGCCCAACUCCCGAGAAGAUCUAUAUUUGUCCCAACAAUGCUGUUGUUUGGUUAGAGGUUUUUCUAGCUCUUUUCACCACUCUUGAGGUUUUAUCCGUCGUCAUGUACAACUUAUCCUGCCCAAAUCCGUUACCUAGGUUUUAUUCGUCUUGGCUUCGAUCUCCACCAAGAUGGUGGCUUUCUCCUCAAUGUUCGUCAUAUUCUCCCCAGCGUCGGUGGCCCUUUUCUAAGUUCUUAGAUCUGGUUUUUUCAAAGCUAGAUCUACGUUCUUCCGAGGGUCUCUAGCUCCCACGCGCCACUUCAACGGCAUCACCAACGUCUUAACUUCCCAACGCCACCAGUCAUGCAGCAUUCCACCUCCCACACGCCUACACGUGGUGCUCACGCACUGGGUGGACAUUCCCCACCUCCGACGCAUGGAUUUCACACCCGGCGCCUGAUGUUGUGCUCUGCUUUGCUUUGUCGGUCACUAGAGUUGCUGAUUUUUGGGCUUUUUUGUUGUUUAUUUAUUUCAGUUUUAUUUUGUUGCUUGGGUUUUAGUUUCCCUUUAAUUAAGAGAGAUGCUUGUAUCUAGAUUUGUGUUGGUGCCUCUCUUUUAUGUAGUCUCAGAGAUUUGGACUAUUUCAGUGCUUCUAUCGCUUCAGCUAUCUUCGGGUGGUUGUUGUUGUUCCUAAGUGGGGUACAAAUGGGCUUGUCUUACUCUGUACUCCUUUAGCUUUUUUAAUCACCUUAUGCAGCCCUUUAAGAGGACUGAGUCACUUGUUUGACUCAUUUCCUAACUUUUGUAUUUAUUUCAACACUUUUUUAGUUUGGUUUAGGUCUAUUGUUGGGAAGCCCAUUCCUUUUAACUCUUUCCCUUAUUCAAUUAAAAAAAAUACUAACAUUUGCUUCGUUACUCAAAAAAUUAAAUGUUGUUAAAUUAACAAGUCAAUGUUUGAAACUACAUAUGUCACGUUGCAGUGCCCAAGACGCAUCAAAUAAUGUUAAGAUAAUGAUUAAAAAAAACAUAUGAUACCCACUAAAAUCAAAGUAAGAUAGAUUACAUAAGAAAAUCGGGUUUUAGAAGUAAAAAUGAUGGAUUUUAAGCUAAAAAAUGCACUCACCGAACAUAACUGGGUAACAAUGGCGAGCGCACAGAAAAUAAUUUUUCGAAUUGAGGUCAUAUAUGCAAUUUUGACACUCGUAGCUCAAGUUACACCCAAAUCACUAGCCUGUGUCCAUGUGUGUAAUACGACCCAAUCGAUUAAAGACGAAAGGACAUGACUAGAGAAAGAUCGGAAGAAACAUAUCAAAAAACGAGGCCAAAAACAAAAAUUGAAGUUUUUGUAAAACAGAGCCCGAUGGACCGAGAUUUUGUGGGUGACACGUGGUAGAAGGCUUUUUGAAAACUUAUGCCCAAAGUCAAGUGACAUGUGGAAACUAAGACCUAGGUGGCUAGGUUGACCAAUACACUUGGUCAUCGACUGAGGAUAGUUGGGUCAGACUUAUCCUGACUUAGAUUUGACUAGGGACACGCGUCAAAGCAGGAUUGAGCCAACUCAUCAAAGGUUCAGUCAACCGAGGGCUUAUUUUCUACGUGUCAACAAAGGCUUCGUCGACCGAGCACUGUAUGUUUGAGAAUUUCUAUAAAUAGGGCCGAGUGUUGAAGGGUUUUUCACUCCAAAAUCCUAUCUCUCUAGAAUUUAGGAUUUAAGUGUUUUGAGUAGCGGUAUAAUUUCGGACCGGUUAUAAUCGGCCAGAAAACAAGCUCCGAAUAACCAAAAAACCGGUUUACUAUCCAGUUAUAAAUAACCAUGUAACCGGGCACCUUGAGCCGAGUCGAGUAUUAAUUUUCUAGGCACUUGGUAAUAACUGGGUAAUCAGCUCCGGGUUAUAAUAUAUUAAAAAAAAUUAAAAGUUACCCCUACCUAGUACCCGUUACCCUAAACACAUGCCCCUUAACCCUUUCCUAUUUCCAUUUUCCACUUUUAUUUUCUCUUCUCGCCAGUCGCCACCUAUAGCCUACUUCUUCUUCUUCUUCACAAAAUCUGAGUUCUUAUUCUGCACGGCACACGCUCUUAGUUCUUCACUUCUUUUUCUUCUUCUUAGUUCUUCUUCUGUCAUGCUCUCCACUGUCACCUACAACAGAUCUGGUGAUUUUUGAAUCGGCCUUCGUCUUUGAUCUUUUGAUUCUUUCUCACUCUCACUGACUUCGUCUUUCUCUGUUUCUCUACAAAUUUGGUGAUUUUUGAAGCUGAAGAAGCAGUCUAGCAGACGGUUAGUUAUAGAUGAUUGAGAGCAGAGCUGCAGAAAGCCAGAAACUGGACCAUGCUUGGAUAUGUUUAAUAUGUUUAUGAACUUUUCAAAUAUGUUUAUGGACUUCUGGGUUUGAACUUUUUUAUUAUGUUUAUAAACUUUUGGGUUUUUAAUAUGUAAUUAUGUAUGGAUGUGGAGUUUUCGAA
This is a long non-coding RNA of Alnus glutinosa, 3050 nucleotides long. RefSeq lists it as uncharacterized. The transcript is spliced from 2 exons. The record is from RefSeq and is a predicted model, not a curated record. NCBI's taxonomy places the organism in Eukaryota, Viridiplantae, Streptophyta, Magnoliopsida, Fagales, Betulaceae.